CCUACGUGAGGCAGCAGUAGGGAAUCUUCCACAAUGGGCGAAAGCCUGAUGGAGCAACGCCGCGUGGGUGAAGAAGGUCUUCGGAUCGUAAAACCCUGUUGUUAGAGAAGAAAGUGCGUGAGAGUAACUGUUCACGUUUCGACGGUAUCUAACCAGAAAGCCACGGCUAACUACGUGCCAGCAGCCGCGGUAAUACGUAGGUGGCAAGCGUUAUCCGGAUUUAUUGGGCGUAAAGGGAAUGCAGGCGGUCUUUUAAGUCUGAUGUGAAAGCCUUCGGCUUAACCGGAGUAGUGCAUUGGAAACUGGUAGACUUGAGUGCAGAAGAGGAGAGUGGAACUCCAUGUGUAGCGGUGAAAUGCGUAGAUAUAUGGAAGAACACCAGUGGCGAAAGCGGCUCUCUGGUCUGUAACUGACGCUGAGGUUCGAAAGCGUGGGUAGCAAACAGGAUUAGAUACCCUUGUAGUC
RNAcentral lists this ribosomal RNA (465 nucleotides) under uncultured bacterium. RNAcentral describes it as "partial 16S ribosomal RNA". It matches the Rfam family "Bacterial small subunit ribosomal RNA", at positions 338 to 795 of the family's 1533-position model. The record is from RNAcentral.